This is a long non-coding RNA of Sorghum bicolor (sorghum), 1544 nucleotides long. RefSeq lists it as uncharacterized. The transcript is spliced from 10 exons. NCBI's taxonomy places the organism in Eukaryota, Viridiplantae, Streptophyta, Magnoliopsida, Poales, Poaceae. The record is from RefSeq and is a predicted model, not a curated record.
UGCGGUCUGACCGUCUGCCUGUUCUUCCAAUUCCACCGCUGCUAACCGGGCCCUAGGCCCUCGCCCAACCCCAUCCCCCAAACCCGACUGGCGACAGCCGCUGCCGCCCUAGGCCCUACUCCAGGUACCCCGGUCUUCUUCGGGCCCUUCGCCGGCGACGAGCACCACCAGGUAUUCCAGUUGGUCUUAUGGAGAACAAUGAUGCAGACAAGAAAGAGACUGAUGAAUCCACUCCGCAGCGUCGCUGUAAACCUAAAGUUAAAUUUGCACCCAAAGUUCUUCCUAAGAAAAUGCCAAAAAUCAUCCCUAAAAGGGAACCACAUGAGGAGAACAAGGUUUUGACAAUUGAUAAGAAAGUGAUGACUGGAAUUGGUAGCUUCCAGUUUCACAUGGCAGAUAACUGAUAACCCCAGAAGUGGAGCUAAGGCUGAGAAACAAGGAACCCCUGUCAGGUUUCAUUUGGACGAGCAGACCCUUCAGUUCCAAGGACUUUCCCCACUCCAAGAAGCACUUCAACAGGCAUUAGUUUCAUUUUUAAUUUCACCUUCACUUCAUACUCACAAAUUAGUUUCAUGUGUCUGGCAAAUUAGCAAAGAAAGUUAUACUUUGUCAUUAGUAUAAUCUUUGACAUAUAUGAUAUACCUUUACUAUAUCUACUUUUAUUCUUAAGUACUGUGCAAUUGUUAACUGAAAAGAUAGUUAUAGAGUUUGUUCCAUGUGUAUUCACUAUUUAGGUUCAACUGCUGUAAAAAUUACUCAAGGAGCAUGACGAACCAUGGGAUUACAAUAAAUGUACCAAUUAUCCUGUUACUCUACCACUGAGAUGGCCCAACUCUGGAGAUACAGAGUCUUGACGAAGAGGAAUUCAGCCGUUCUUUGAGCAAAGCCCAAGAUGGUGAACUGACCGCAGCUGAAGAACUUGGACUGAUGGAAAGGGUGGAUAUGCCACAUUUGCUCUUCUUCCAGUUUCCUACUUCUCUUCCUUUACCAAGGGAAACUGACCCAGCUGCUGAAACAGAGACAAACACCAUUGUGAAUGGGAAUGUGAAAUCCAUGGGGAACUAUAGGAAGAGGAUGCUUGACUCAGGCAAUGCCUGUAAUCUGAAAGAGCUGUCAGGUGGUCUCAUGGGAAAGAUACUCAUAUACAAGAGUGGUAAAGUGAAGAUGAAGCUCGGUGAUGUGCUCUUUGAUGUUGCUGCUGGCUCCAAUUGCAUGUUUGUUCAAGAGGUUGUACCGAUUGAUACUCGUAUACUUUUUGCUGUAGCAUUGGGGAGCUUGGAAAACGUGCAGUUGUAACACCUGAUAUCGACUAUUUGUCAGGUUCUAUUGAGAAGAUGUAGCCUGUGGUUAGGCAUAAGUGGGUAUAUAGUUUGGUUGGUUGGGGGCUCCUUCUGGUAUUACAGAGCGAUAUUGCUAGGUUCAAUCCGGAGUACUUCAGACAGAGUUGGUCAUUGUUAUUGCUACUGUUUUGCAGUGAGCACUAUGAAGUUGCAAAUCUGCAACAGGAAAGCUAACGAAAUCAAUACUGAUUUCAGAUGUCCAAA